UCUUAAGAGUGAUGCUUUCUUAAAGG
Molecule: non-coding RNA, 26 nt
Filed under: Mus musculus (house mouse)
Lineage: Eukaryota; Metazoa; Chordata; Mammalia; Rodentia; Muridae
Source: RNAcentral